GACGAGGUGGCCGAGUGGUUAAGGCGAUGGACUGCUAAUCCAUUGUGCUCGAAUCCCAUCCUCGUCG
This 67-nucleotide transfer RNA is filed under the name Larimichthys crocea (large yellow croaker). It matches the Rfam family "tRNA". From Rfam's summary of the family: Transfer RNA (tRNA) molecules are approximately 80 nucleotides in length. Lineage: Eukaryota; Metazoa; Chordata; Actinopteri; Sciaenidae. The record is from Rfam by way of RNAcentral.